CCUACGGGUGGCAGCAGUGGGGAAUAUUGGACAAUGGGCGAAAGCCUGAUCCAGCCAUGCCGCGUGUGUGAAGAAGGCCUUCGGGUUGUAAAGCACUUUCAGUGGGGAAGAAAGCCUUGGGGCUAAUACCCUCGAGGAAGGACAUCACCCACAGAAGAAGCACCGGCUAACUCCGUGCCAGCAGCCGCGGUAAUACGGAGGGUGCGAGCGUUAAUCGGAAUUACUGGGCGUAAAGCGCGCGUAGGCGGUCUGAUAAGCCGGUUGUGAAAGCCCCGGGCUCAACCUGGGAACGGCAUCCGGAACUGUCAGGCUAGAGUGCAGGAGAGGAAGGUAGAAUUCCCGGUGUAUCGGUGAAAUGCGUAGAGAUCGGGAGGAAUACCAGUGGCGAAGGCGGCCUUCUGGACUGACACUGACGCUGAGGUGCGAAAGCGUGGGUAGCAAACAGGAUUAGAUACCCUAGUAGUC
RNAcentral lists this ribosomal RNA (465 nucleotides) under Vreelandella stevensii. RNAcentral's name for it is "partial 16S ribosomal RNA". It matches the Rfam family "Bacterial small subunit ribosomal RNA", at positions 338 to 795 of the family's 1533-position model. The record is from RNAcentral. Lineage: Bacteria; Pseudomonadati; Pseudomonadota; Gammaproteobacteria; Oceanospirillales; Halomonadaceae.